RNAcentral lists this transfer RNA (73 nucleotides) under Cyrtodactylus tigroides. RNAcentral's name for it is "tRNA Gln". It matches the Rfam family "tRNA". From Rfam's summary of the family: Transfer RNA (tRNA) molecules are approximately 80 nucleotides in length. Their secondary structure includes four short double-helical elements and three loops (D, anti-codon, and T loops). The record is from RNAcentral. Lineage: Eukaryota; Metazoa; Chordata; Lepidosauria; Squamata; Gekkonidae.
UAGGUGGUAGUAUAAUGUGGUAGUACGUGGGGUUUUGGACUUUGUGGUGUGGGUUCGUGGCCCGUCUGCCUAG